Molecule: ribosomal RNA, 478 nt
Filed under: uncultured bacterium
Lineage: Bacteria
Description: bacterial SSU rRNA
Rfam family: Bacterial small subunit ribosomal RNA
Source: RNAcentral
ACGAACGCUGGCGGCGUGCCUAACACAUGCAAGUCAACUUGACUGAAGGAGCAAUCUGACAGUAGAGUGGCGCAAGGGUGCGUAACGCGUAAGUAACUUGCCCCAAGUAAGGAAUAACGUCGAGAAAUCGGCGCUAAUACCUCAUAAUGCAGCGGAUCCGCAUGGAUAUGUUGUUAAAGGUUUACCGCCUUGGGAUAGGCUUGCGUCUGAUUAGCUAGUUGGUGUGGUAACGGCACACCAAGGCUACGAUCAGUAACUGGUCUGAGAGGAUGAUCAGUCACACUGGAACUGAGACACGGUCCAGACUCCUACGGGAGGCAGCAGUGAGGAAUAUUGGGCAAUGCUCGAAAGAGUGACCCAGCAACGCCGCGUGGAGGAUGAAGGUAUUCUAUAUCGUAAACUCCUGUGAGAGCAGACGAAAGACAGAUUAUUAAUCUGGAUGACUGUAUGCUCAGAGGAAGCCCCGGCUAACUACGUG